This 470-nucleotide ribosomal RNA is filed under the name Carcinoscorpius rotundicauda (Southeast Asian horseshoe crab). RNAcentral's name for it is "partial 16S rRNA". It matches the Rfam family "Bacterial large subunit ribosomal RNA", at positions 1848 to 2582 of the family's 2925-position model. The record is from RNAcentral. Lineage: Eukaryota; Metazoa; Arthropoda; Merostomata; Xiphosura; Limulidae.
AAAAAUCUAAUCUGCCCAAUGAUUAAGAAUUGAAUGGCCGCGGUAUAUUGACCGUGCGAAGGUAGCAUAAUCAUUUGCUUUUUAAUUGGAGGCUGGAAUGAAUGAUUUGACGGAAAAGGUCUGUCUUAAUUUUAAGUUUUUAAGUUUACUUUUUAGUGAGAAGGCUAAAAUGUUAUCAAGGGACGAGAAGACCCUAUUAAGCUUUAUUUUUAUUAUUUUUGGUUUUAUGUUUUUAUUUACAAAAAAUAGUAAAAAUUUUACUGGGGCGGUAGAGAAAGAGAAAGAUCUUUUUUUAAAAAUUAAAACAUUUAUGUUAAUUUUUGAUCCAUUAUUAAUGAUAAAAAGAAGAAGUUACUAUAGGGAUAACAGCGUAAUUUUUUCGGAGAGUUCAUAUCGGCGAAGAAGUUUGCGACCUCGAUGUUGAAUUAAAGAGUCAGUAAGGCGGAGAAGUUUUAUAUGAGGGUCUGUUC